AACGCUGGCGGCGUGCUUAACACAUGCAAGUCGAACGGUAAGGCCUUUCGGGGUACACGAGUGGCGAACGGGUGAGUAACACGUGGGUGAUCUGCCCUGCACUUUGGGAUAAGCCUGGGAAACUGGGUCUAAUACCGAAUAGGACCAUGGACUUCACGGUUUGUGGUGGAAAGCUUUUGCGGUGUGGGAUGGGCCCGCGGCCUAUCAGCUUGUUGGUGGGGUAAUGGGCCUACCAAGGCGACGACGGGUAGCCGGCCUGAGAGGGUGACCGGCCACACUGGGACUGAGAUACGGCCCAGACUCCUACGGGAGGCAGCAGUGGGGAAUAUUGCACAAUGGGCGCAAGCCUGAUGCAGCGACGCCGCGUGAGGGAUGACGGCCUUCGGGUUGUAAACCUCUUUCAGCACAGACGAAGCGCAAGUGACGGUAUGUGCAGAAGAAGGACCGGCCAACUACGUG
RNAcentral lists this ribosomal RNA (459 nucleotides) under uncultured bacterium. RNAcentral describes it as "bacterial SSU rRNA". It matches the Rfam family "Bacterial small subunit ribosomal RNA", at positions 32 to 507 of the family's 1533-position model. The record is from RNAcentral.